Molecule: ribosomal RNA, 647 nt
Filed under: uncultured Basidiomycota
Lineage: Eukaryota; Fungi; Basidiomycota
Description: LSU rRNA
Rfam family: Eukaryotic large subunit ribosomal RNA
Source: RNAcentral
CCUCAAAUCAGGUAGGACUACCCGCUGAACUUAAGCAUAUCAAUAAGCGGAGGAAAAGAAACUAACAAGGAUUCCCCUAGUAACUGCGAGUGAAGCGGGAAAAGCUCAAAUUUAAAAUCUGGCGGCUUCGCCGUCCGAGUUGUAAUCUGGAGAAGCGUUUUCCGUGUUGGACCGUGUACAAGUCUCUUGGAACAGAGCGUCAUAGAGGGUGAGAAUCCCGUCUUUGACACGGACUACCAAUGCUUUGUGAUACGCUCUCGAAGAGUCGAGUUGUUUGGGAAUGCAGCUCAAAAUGGGUGGUAAAUUCCAUCUAAAGCUAAAUAUUGGCGAGAGACCGGUAGCGAACAAGUACCGUGAGGGAAAGAUGAAAAGCACUUUGGAAAGAGAGUUAAACAGUACGUGAAAUUGUUGAAAGGGAAACGCUUGAAGUCAGUCGCGUUGUCCGGGACUCAGCCUUGCUUCUGCUUGGUGUAUUUCCUGGUUGACGGGCCAACAUCGAUUUUGGACGGCGGAUAAAGGUGAGGGGAAUGUGGCAUCCUCGGAUGUGUUAUAGCCUCUCGUCGGAUGCGUCGUCUGGGAUCGAGGACCGCAGCACGCCUUUUUGGCCGGGGUUCGCCCACGUAACGUGCUUAGGAUGUUGGCAUAAU